GAUGAACGCUAGCGAUAGGCUUAACACAUGCAAGUCGAGCGGCAGCACAAGGUAGCUUGCUGUCUGGGUGGCGACAGGCGCACGGGUUCGUAACGCGUAUGCAACUUGCCCUAUACAGGAGGAUAACCCGUCGAACGACUGACUAAUACUGCGUGUGCUCACAACUUGGCAUCAAGUGGUGAGGAAAGAAAUUCGGGAUAGGAUGGGCAUGCGUCCCCUUAGCUUGGUGGUGAGGUAACGGCACACCAAGGCAACGAUGGGCAGGGGAAAGGAGAGGUUUAUCCCCCAGAAUGGAACUGCGACACGGACCAGACUCCUACGGGAGGCAGCAGUGAGUAAGACUGGUCGAGGAACGCGGACCUGAACCAGCCAAGUCGCGUGAAGGAUGCCUGUCUUAGGGAUUGUAAACUUCUUUUGUACAGGAAUAACAAGAGUCACGGGUGACUUCUUGAAGGUACCGUAUGAAUAAGCAUCGGCUAACUCCGUG
Molecule: ribosomal RNA, 487 nt
Filed under: uncultured bacterium
Lineage: Bacteria
Description: partial 16S ribosomal RNA
Rfam family: Bacterial small subunit ribosomal RNA
Source: RNAcentral